RNAcentral lists this ribosomal RNA (1072 nucleotides) under uncultured Microbacterium sp. RNAcentral's name for it is "bacterial SSU rRNA". It matches the Rfam family "Bacterial small subunit ribosomal RNA", at positions 73 to 1156 of the family's 1533-position model. Lineage: Bacteria; Bacillati; Actinomycetota; Actinomycetes; Micrococcales; Microbacteriaceae. The record is from RNAcentral.
ACGGAGCUUGCUCUGUGGGAUCAGUGGCGAACGGGUGAGUAACACGUGAGCAACCUGCCCCUGACUCUGGGAUAAGCGCUGGAAACGGCGUCUAAUACUGGAUAUGUGACGUGACCGCAUGGUCUGCGUCUGGAAAGAAUUUCGGUUGGGGAUGGGCUCGCGGCCUAUCAGCUUGUUGGUGAGGUAAUGGCUCACCAAGGCGUCGACGGGUAGCCGGCCUGAGAGGGUGACCGGCCACACUGGGACUGAGACACGGCCCAGACUCCUACGGGAGGCAGCAGUGGGGAAUAUUGCACAAUGGGCGCAAGCCUGAUGCAGCAACGCCGCGUGAGGGACGACGGCCUUCGGGUUGUAAACCUCUUUUAGCAGGGAAGAAGCGAAAGUGACGGUACCUGCAGAAAAAGCGCCGGCUAACUACGUGCCAGCAGCCGCGGUAAUACGUAGGGCGCAAGCGUUAUCCGGAAUUAUUGGGCGUAAAGAGCUCGUAGGCGGUUUGUCGCGUCUGCUGUGAAAUCCGGAGGCUCCACCUCCGGCCUGCAGUGGGUACGGGCAGACUAGAGUGCGGUAGGGGAGAUUGGAAUUCCUGGUGUAGCGGUGGAAUGCGCAGAUAUCAGGAGGAACACCGAUGGCGAAGGCAGAUCUCUGGGCCGUAACUGACGCUGAGGAGCGAAAGGGUGGGGAGCAAACAGGCUUAGAUACCCUGGUAGUCCACCCCGUAAACGUUGGGAACUAGUUGUGGGGUCCAUUCCACGGAUUCCGUGACGCAGCUAACGCAUUAAGUUCCCCGCCUGGGGAGUACGGCCGCAAGGCUAAAACCCAAAGGAAUUGACGGGGACCCGCACAAGCGGCGGAGCAUGCGGAUUAAUUCGAUGCAACGCGAAGAACCUUACCAAGGCUUGACAUAUACGAGAACGGGCCAGAAAUGGUCAACUCUUUGGACACUCGUAAACAGGUGGUGCAUGGUUGUCGUCAGCUCGUGUCGUGAGAUGUUGGGUUAAGUCCCGCAACGAGCGCAACCCUCGUUCUAUGUUGCCAGCACGUAAUGGUUGGGAACUCAUGGGAUACUGGCCGG